This 833-nucleotide ribosomal RNA is filed under the name Shigella sonnei. RNAcentral's name for it is "partial 23S ribosomal RNA". It matches the Rfam family "Bacterial large subunit ribosomal RNA", at positions 353 to 1190 of the family's 2925-position model. The record is from RNAcentral. Lineage: Bacteria; Pseudomonadati; Pseudomonadota; Gammaproteobacteria; Enterobacterales; Enterobacteriaceae.
UGCGAUACAGGGUGACAGCCCCGUACACAAAAAUGCACAUAUUGUGAGCUUGAUGAGUAGGGCGGGACACGUGGUAUCCUGUCUGAAUAUGGGGGGACCAUCCUCCAAGGCUAAAUACUCCUGACUGACCGAUAGUGAACCAGUACCGUGAGGGAAAGGCGAAAAGAACCCCGGCGAGGGGAGUGAAAAAGAACCUGAAACCGUGUACGUACAAGCAGUGGGAGCACGCUUAGGCGUGUGACUGCGUACCUUUUGUAUAAUGGGUCAGCGACUUAUGUUCUGUAGCAAGGUUAACCGAAUAGGGGAGCCGAAGGGAAACCGAGUCUUAACUGGGCGUUAAGUUGCAGGGUAUAGACCCGAAACCCGGUGAUCUAGCCAUGGGCAGGUUGAAGGUUGGGUAACACUAACUGGAGGACCGAACCGACUAAUGUUGAAAAAUUAGCGGAUGACUUGUGGCUGGGGGUGAAAGGCCAAUCAAACCGGGAGAUAGCUGGUUCUCCCCGAAAGCUAUUUAGGUAGCGCCUCGUGAAUUCAUCUCCGGGGGUAGAGCACUGUUUCGGCAAGGGGGUCAUCCCGACUUACCAACCCGAUGCAAACUGCGAAUACCGGAGAAUGUUAUCACGGGAGACACACGGCGGGUGCUAACGUCCGUCGUGAAGAGGGAAACAACCCAGACCGCCAGCUAAGGUCCCAAAGUCAUGGUUAAGUGGGAAACGAUGUGGGAAGGCCCAGACAGCCAGGAUGUUGGCUUAGAAGCAGCCAUCAUUUAAAGAAAGCGUAAUAGCUCACUGGUCGAGUCGGCCUGCGCGGAAGAUGUAACGGGGCUAAACCAU